Pelecanus crispus (Dalmatian pelican) is the source of this 59-nucleotide non-coding RNA. Lineage: Eukaryota; Metazoa; Chordata; Aves; Pelecaniformes; Pelecanidae. The record is from Rfam.
UAGCUCAGUUGGUUAGAACAUGGUGCUAAUAACGCCAAGUUUGCAGGUUCAAUCCCUGC